UAUUCUGUAUUGUACUGGAUCUUAAAUAUUUGUUAGGGGAAGCAUACUGAUUGAAACCACCCUCCCUGGCCAGACACCAUAGUAACUAUUUGCAUGAGUUGUUUUAUGACAGGAGGUCCUGGUAAGGAACACGGAACUAAUAAGCCACCACCAACCAGAAGAGUUCUGGAAAGGUCAAAAAGAGACACCACGUGUCUGACUACCUCCCAGAAUCCUUCUCGCUGGCAUCCAUCUUGGCUGAGUGAUGUGUGCGCCACCAGGAAGGACUCUGAGUCAGAAUGAUUGGCUAAAGACAACCCGAAAACUAAUCCCA
Long non-coding RNA from Cervus elaphus (red deer), 313 nucleotides. RefSeq lists it as uncharacterized. Lineage: Eukaryota; Metazoa; Chordata; Mammalia; Artiodactyla; Cervidae. The record is from RefSeq and is a predicted model, not a curated record. The transcript is spliced from 4 exons.